Molecule: ribosomal RNA, 459 nt
Filed under: uncultured bacterium
Lineage: Bacteria
Description: bacterial SSU rRNA
Rfam family: Bacterial small subunit ribosomal RNA
Source: RNAcentral
AGCGAACGCUAGCGGCGGGCCUAACACAUGCAAGUCGAGCGCAUACCUUCGGGUAUGAGCGGCGGACGGGUGAGUAACACGUAGGUAAUCUACCCUUUGGUGGGGAAUAACCCGGGGAAACUCGGGCUAAUGCCGCACGAGGUCUACGGAUCAAAGCCUUCGGGCGCCAGAGGAUGAGCCUGCGUUGCAUUACCUAGUUGGCGGGGUAACGGCCCACCAAGGGGACGAUGCAUAGCUGGUCUGAGAGGAUGAUCAGCCACACUGGGACUGAGACACGGCCCAGACUCCUACGGGAGGCAGCAGUGGGGAAUAUUGCGCAAUGGGGGAAACCCUGACGCAGCUACGCCGCGUGGGUGAUGAAGGCCUUCGGGUUGUAAAGCCCUGUCGGGAGGGACGGAAUACUGACGGUACCUCCCCAAGAAAGACACCGGCUAACUCCGUGCCAGCAGCCGCGGUAAU